Molecule: long non-coding RNA, 443 nt
Organism: Perognathus longimembris pacificus (Pacific pocket mouse)
Lineage: Eukaryota; Metazoa; Chordata; Mammalia; Rodentia; Heteromyidae
Exons: 2
Source: RefSeq, a predicted model, not a curated record
AGAAAUGCAAUAACUGAAUUGUUAACACAAUGCCAAAGUUUCAGUCUUAUAGUCUACAUCUUGGUUAAUUUUCCAAUCAAACGCAUUAUUAAGGGGCAUUAUUAAACAACUAUUUUUAACUCUGUCAGAAGAAAGUCAUCCCGGUGAUAUUUUCCCUCAAGUCUCAAGCCACAAUGUUUUACACUGGCUCUAAGUUGAGAUCAGUUACAGGAAAGGCAAUAUCUCUCUGAGUAGUGGAGAGAAAAGGUUUUCUGUAGUUUUCACUUGACAGAUGUGCCCCUACCAUUGGAAGCAAACCACCUAAGUUGGCAUCACACAGAGAAGCCCAAGGUAAGCACAGAAGUGAAAUGGACCCUGGAUGCUUUUGGAAUUAAUAAGUCACUGUGACUAGCUCUUUAGGUUCUAAACUGUUGGUAUUAAGGUAAUAUUUUUCGUAAAAGCUU